GAGUUUGAUCAUGGCUCAGGAUGAACGCUAGCGGCAGACUUAAUACAUGUGAGUCGAGGGGCAGCGGAUCCCUCCGGGGAUGCCGGCGACCGGCGAACGGGUGAGUAACACGUAUGGAACCUACCCUUAACUGGGGAAUAGCCUUGAGAAAUCGAGGGUAAUGCCCCAUAUUAUCAUAAAAGGACAUCCUUUUUUGAUGAAAGCUCAGGCGGUUAGGGAUGGUCAUGCGGUCCAUUAGCUUGUUGGUGAGGUAAGUGCUCACCAAGGCUGCGAUGGAUAGCUGAUCUGAGAGGAUGAUCAGCCACAUUGGCACUGAGACACGGGCCAAACUCCUACGGGAGGCAGCAGUAGGGAAUCUUGGUCAAUUGGCGAAAGCCAGAACCAGUCAUGCCGCGUGCAGGAUGAAGGCCCUAAGGGUCGUAAACUGCUUUUAUUCGGGAAGAAGAAGUCUGUUUCCACAGACCUUGACGGUACCGAUUGAAUAAGGACCGGCCAACUCCGUGCCAGCAGCCGCGGUAAUACGGAGGGUCCAAGCGUUAUCCGGAUUCACUGGGUUUAAAGGGUGCGCAGGCGGCUAAGUAAGUCAGUGGUGAAAGCCUUCGGCUCAACCGGAGAAUUGCCAUUGAAACUACUUAGCUUGAGUGCAGUAGAGGUAGGCGGAAUGUAGCAUGUAGCGGUGAAAUGCUUAGAUAUGCUACAGAACACCGAUAGCGAAAGCAGCUUACCAUAUUGCAACUGACGCUGAGGCACGAAAGCAUGGGUAGCAAACAGGAUUAGAUACCCUGGUAGUCCAUGCCGUAAACUUUGAACACUCGGAGUUUGUCGCCUAGCGAUAAGCUCCCUAGCGAAAGCGUUAAGUGUUCCACCUGGGGAGUACGGCCGCAAGGCUAAAACUCAAAGGAAUUGACGGGGGCCCGCACAAGGCGGAGGAGCAUGUGGUUUAAUUC
Molecule: ribosomal RNA, 947 nt
Filed under: uncultured bacterium
Lineage: Bacteria
Description: bacterial SSU rRNA
Rfam family: Bacterial small subunit ribosomal RNA
Source: RNAcentral